This 253-nucleotide ribosomal RNA is filed under the name uncultured bacterium. Its description in RNAcentral is "partial 16S ribosomal RNA". It matches the Rfam family "Bacterial small subunit ribosomal RNA", at positions 524 to 776 of the family's 1533-position model. The record is from RNAcentral.
UACGGAGGGAGCUAGCGUUGUUCGGAUUUACUGGGCGUAAAGCGCACGUAGGCGGCGUCGUAAGUCAGGGGUGAAAUCCCGGAGCUCAACUCCGGAACUGCCCUUGAAACUGCAAUGCUAGAAUCUUGGAGAGGCGAGUGGAAUUCCGAGUGUAGAGGUGAAAUUCGUAGAUAUUCGGAAGAACACCAGUGGCGAAGGCGACUCGCUGGACAAGUAUUGACGCUGAGGUGCGAAAGCGUGGGGAGCAAACAGG